This is an RNA transcript of Gallus gallus (chicken), 228 nucleotides long. It is a transcript of the gene named extensin-like, with no coding region annotated. The transcript is spliced from 3 exons. The record is from RefSeq and is a predicted model, not a curated record. NCBI's taxonomy places the organism in Eukaryota, Metazoa, Chordata, Aves, Galliformes, Phasianidae.
GGUGGGGCCGGGCCGGAAGUGAGGCGCAGCGGAGUGGACGGCGGCGCCGGCGCCGGCCAUGGGGGAGCCGAGCGACCUGGACCGGCAGAUCGAGCAGCUGCGGCGCUGUGAGCUCAUCCGGGAGAGCGAAGUGAAGGCGCUGUGUGCCAAGGCCAGGGAGAUCCUGGUGGAGGAGAGCAACGUGCAGAGGGUCGACUCGCCGGUCACGGUGGGGGGGGAAUCUAUGGG